This is a long non-coding RNA of Pipistrellus kuhlii (Kuhl's pipistrelle), 3372 nucleotides long. RefSeq lists it as uncharacterized. The record is from RefSeq and is a predicted model, not a curated record. Lineage: Eukaryota; Metazoa; Chordata; Mammalia; Chiroptera; Vespertilionidae. The transcript is spliced from 3 exons.
AAGGUACAUGCUCUUGACUGGAAUCGAACCCGGGAGCUUUCAGUCCGCACACCAAUGCUCUAUCCACCGAGCCAAACCGGUCAGGGCUCCCAACAAACUUUAGUUGUGUCAGUCUGGGCACCAUGUUGCCCUCCUUCCUUUGCACAGGGGGUCAGGCUCCCUCAUCCGUGUGGGCGUGUGUGUUUUGUCAGGUCCUUGCUGGACCACAUGUACGACAUAAGCUCUUUAGAACCAAGGACUGAGUUUUAUUUACUGUUGUGCUCCCUGCAGAGGCUGAGGUUUUCAGUGACUGCUUUUCAGGGAUGUCUCUCUUCUAGAACCCAUUCCAGCAGGCCCAUGUGGCUGUGCUUCACGGGGGCCACUGGGUCAGCACUUCUGUAGGCAUUGCCAUUUCUUUCCAGCAUUUGUUAUUGAUUGUCAGUGCUCCUCAGGCUCUGCCAAUACCCCCAGCAGGAAUCCGAGGUCUUUUGCUGGUGGGUAUAGGUGUGGAGAUUCUCAUCACAAGAUAGUGAUAUUUUCCCAGCACCACCCCAUUCCAGACACCGAGAUCAGCUCUAGUAACCCUUUGCCUCUUGAGUGACAGUGUCCUCACCUAUAACUGUCCUGGACUCCCCCUGAGGGCAGGCUCACCCCAUCCUGAGUUCCUUAGAAUCCUCCACAGGGGGAGGGGCUUGUGUCUUUGUGUCAAAUGAUGGGUCAGCAUCCUGCUGCUUUCCUAGGAGGUUGUGUGUGAAGGACCCUUGUUCUCCGUGGUGACCUGCUCCUCUCCUGAGCCAGGGCCCAGGUGUCAGUGGUGUCCACAGCCCUAAAUACUGACAGCUAAUCUUUGUUUUCUCUAAGUGGGUAUAGACAUUAGUUAUCCAUUUUCAAUCAUUGUUCUUCAGUGGGCCAAUAAUUUAUUUUGGCAAGUGCAGCUUUAUUAUUGAAUUCUCUUUUUAAAUUAUUAACACAUUAAACUCAGAAAUUCUGAGCUUGGCACGGAGAUUCAAUGACAACGUCUCUCAGUAGAAACUUGUAGAACAGAAACUAUUGAACUUCAGCUGCUCAUUCAGUUUGUGUGUUUCUAUUGGGCUUCUCUGUUCCUCCCUCUGUCUCAUGCUCAGGGUGCAGGGCAGUGAGGCUCAGGCUGCUAAGUCAGGGAGAAACAGUCCUCAAUCCCUAAUUAUGCAUGGUGCUUCAUUUUAUAUGUAAAUGACCACAUAGUCAUUACAGAGUGGUUUCUUGGGCAUAGUGUGUGUUGCUUCUCUGACAUGAUUUUCUACUUCAUCCUGAGGUUUAUGUAAAGGGAAGUAAGGAAAGUCAAAGAGACUUCACCAUUUUCCUUUAUAAUUAUCAUGACGUCAGACUUUUUGUUUCUCAUUUCAACUUUCCUAGAAAGCAAAAUCGACAGUUGUUUGUGGGCAAAAAUGAAACAGAUAGAAUUCUGCGUGUCAUAGAAGAGAAAGAAGGGAAGUGACUUCUGAUGACAAGAGGACAAAGUGUGUGCUCUGUGUCCUGUUCCAUGAUCACCAGAUCAGAGUCUACUUCUCACCUCUUUGCACUUAGCGCGUCACCUGAGAUAGGUUCAGCCCCACUGUUGGGAGCAUCAGUGACAUUGCCCACGACAGUACUGGGCUUGGAAACAUCGCAGGUGAUCUACCCUAAUUUUUUUUUCUACAACUGGGUACAAUAGAAUCAAGUUCCCAGAGAAAUUUGGCAACACGUGUUCAGUAAGGCAAAGUUUCCAAAUAGAAGGUGCCAUGACCUACAAUCAUGGUUUACACAAGAGCCAGACAUAAGAGUCUUCUGAUCAGAAAUGCUUGCAUUGUGCUCUUCUACAGAAGCACGCUAAAGUUCUCUAAUGACCAACCAACAUGCGAAUAGGGUACUGUUGAUCAGUUACAAGAGCCAUCGUGAACUUAACUGGCAAAUGUCUUUAACCAAACAUUAUCCUGAAGAAUCGUAUCAUUAAAAAAAGAAUGGAAUCUAUAGUUGGAAACUGCCAGUAGUCCCUCCACCCUCCAUCACCACUGUCCCAAAAAAUUGAACAGUAAAAAAAAAAAAAAAAAAAAAAGUGAUAAAAUUAUUUAUUUAAGAAAGCAGCUCAUGUACCUCUCUCUAAACAUAAUUUUGUCAAGUCAUGAUGUACAAGAUAUUUUUAUAAUGACUCCUUGGAGUUAUUUUGGAGUCAGGUAUUUCUCAGCUGGUGCAGAAAUGUGAGUGGAGAUUGUGUUGGGGCUCAGCAAAGGAUGCAGUUGAAGAGAGAGAGUCACCACAAAACGUAAUUCUGAGUGUGUUGACUUUCCUCUGAGGAUUGGUACAGGAUUGCAAUGCGAAAUGCCAUUUCCACUCUGACCACCUCCCAGGCACAGGCGGUGAAGUUCUUCCCUCUCAGGUAGUUAUGGAUUCUUUGGAAAUACUUCCGCAGGAGAAUUCCCACCUUGGGACAUGCCUGAUCUUCUCCUUCCCUCUCCUCCAGGUGCUCCAGGCUGUGAUGAAGGCUGGAGAGGAGCUGGGAGAGGAGGGUGUGGUCCCAUGCAGCAAGGCUGCGCUGUGCGCUGAACAGGGUGAACAUCUGCAGGAGCAUCUGAUGGUGCAGACAGAAAGCAAAAUCGAUAGUUGUUUGUGGGCAAAAAUGAAACAGAUAGAAUUCUGCGUGUCAUAGAAGAGAAAGAAGGGAAGUGACUUCUGAUGACAAGAGGACAAAGUGUAAGUUGGCAGAAUUGGCUGCAGCCACACGGGGUUCCUGGUGCUGAGGCAGAUGGAGGAUGGAGCCAGCCCUGAGCUAUACCAACUCAGGAAUGGGCUGACUGCCAGAGGCUCAAAGAACAGGACCUCCUGAGCCAGUGACCAGCCACGUCAUUUAAUGCUCAUGGGAUCAGCUCUGAGGACUGAAGGGAAGACUCACAGCAACCAACUCUCAGAAGACUGGCUACCAUGCCACCCCCUGCUGGAGCAGGACCCUCCCUGCUACCUAGUGGAUAUUAACCUGAUGUACCUGCUCCAUCUGGUUAAUAAAUCCUCUCAGCUGCUGGAAGAUUGCCUUGAGAAUUGUGGAUUUGAAAGAAAUGGAAUUUGAUGAUCCUGCCAGAUUGUGCUCUUAAUCUAAAUAAUAGUUAUAUUGAUAUUUUAUAGUAAAUGAUAAAAUUUUAUUGCAUGAUAACUAUAGUCCCACUACUGUUCUAAGAUCUUUGAAAUGGUGAAUUCAACCUUCCCAGUAAUCCUAUUUGUAUUAAACUGGUUUAUUUAACUAUUAUGCAGUAUAAAUCUGGAGUGAUGAAUUAAUUGGAAGAUACCAAGAAUCCCAAAUCAAACCGUUAAGGAAUUUAAGAUACUGCUGGUUUGGAAGAACCCAUUAAAAGACAAGGAUAGAAUUGGACAUGGGAUUUAUAA